Molecule: ribosomal RNA, 119 nt
Organism: Lepisosteus oculatus (spotted gar)
Lineage: Eukaryota; Metazoa; Chordata; Actinopteri; Semionotiformes; Lepisosteidae
Source: Ensembl
UAUAGCAGCCAUAUCACUCUGCAACUCAAAUGUGGCAACUUACUGAAGCUAAGCAGGUGUGAGCCUGGUUAGUAGCUGGAUGGGAGACCUCCUGGGAAAACCUAAGGUUGCUGCUGGAA